RNAcentral lists this transfer RNA (57 nucleotides) under Capsala katsuwoni. RNAcentral describes it as "tRNA-Ser". Lineage: Eukaryota; Metazoa; Platyhelminthes; Monogenea; Capsalidea; Capsalidae. The record is from RNAcentral.
GAAAGUUAUAAGGUCUCCCUGCUAAGGAGGUUAAGAGAAAUAUCUUCUCAGCUUUCU